UAGAAUCGCCCCGUUGUUGGUGCUCGCAAUGCCAUUCCGGCAAAGCGGUUAAACGGGAAGCAGGAGGAGGGCGCGACCAGGGUUGCCGCACCCCCCGGCCUGCGCUGCCCCCGCAACGGUCAGCGGAACAGCGGGCAGAUGCCCGCGCUCCCCAUGCACAUGCCACUGGAACCAUCGGGUCUCGGGAAGGCUUUGGGGUCAUUGUCCGCCAGCCCGGAUACCGGCCAGCAAAGUGACCGCCUG
RNAcentral lists this non-coding RNA (243 nucleotides) under Lampropedia hyalina. RNAcentral also lists the same sequence under 1 other name. The record is from RNAcentral. Lineage: Bacteria; Pseudomonadati; Pseudomonadota; Betaproteobacteria; Burkholderiales; Comamonadaceae.